CUCUGAUCGUAGUGGUCUCUGGAGCCAAAUCCCAUUCCACGGCAAUGUUCUGGAUGAACAUUCAUCCCAUCCGUACCACUUACUGGCCGUGUAUCUUGACUCCAGCCACUAUACCACUGAAGCCUCAGUUUCCUCAGCUGCGUAGUGGGACCAAAAAUCUCUGCCUUUCCUACUUCGCAGAGACAGUGACUGGACAAAUUGAGAAGAUGGAUGUAAACAGUAAACAUACAAAUAUCAGUGACUGAUUACCUACUCUGAACCAAGAGCUCUGACAGGCAUUGACUUGUGGAUUUUCCCUGUUCCAAAAUGCCUUCUUCCAGUUAAGUCAAACCUUUCCC
RNAcentral lists this long non-coding RNA (338 nucleotides) under Gorilla gorilla gorilla (western lowland gorilla). Its description in RNAcentral is "lncRNA (ENSGGOG00000044337.1)". The record is from RNAcentral. Lineage: Eukaryota; Metazoa; Chordata; Mammalia; Primates; Hominidae.